CAUGCCUAACACAUGCAAGUCGAACGGAGUUAUUUGAAUGAAGUUUUCGGAUGGAUUUCAGAUAACUUAGUGGCGGACGGGUGAGUAACGCGUGAGCAACCUGCCUUUCAGAGGGGGACAACAGUUGGAAACGACUGCUAAUACCGCAUAACGUAUCGGAACCGCAUGGCUCUGAUACCAAAGAUUAUAUCGCUGAAAGAUGGGCUCGCGUACGAUUAGAUAGUUGGUGAGGUAACGGCUCACCAAGUCGACGAUCGUUAGCCGGACUGAGAGGUUGAACGGCCACAUUGGGACUGAGACACGGCCCAGACUCCUACGGGAGGCAGCAGUGAGGAAUAUUGGGCAAUGGGCGCAAGCCUGACCCAGCAAUGCCGCGUGAAGGAAGACGGUUUUCGGAUUGUAAACUUCUUUUAAGAGGGACGAUAAUGACGGUACCUCUUGAAUAAGCCACGGCUAACUACGUG
This 464-nucleotide ribosomal RNA is filed under the name uncultured bacterium. RNAcentral describes it as "bacterial SSU rRNA". It matches the Rfam family "Bacterial small subunit ribosomal RNA", at positions 43 to 507 of the family's 1533-position model. The record is from RNAcentral.